Molecule: unclassified non-coding RNA, 300 nt
Filed under: Trichoderma sp.
Lineage: Eukaryota; Fungi; Ascomycota; Sordariomycetes; Hypocreales; Hypocreaceae
Description: partial contains 5.8S ribosomal RNA, internal transcribed spacer 2, and large subunit ribosomal RNA
Rfam family: 5.8S ribosomal RNA (bases 1-71)
Source: RNAcentral
GUGAGUCAUCGAAUCUUUGAACGCACAUUGCGCCCGCCAGUAUUCUGGCGGGCAUGCCUGUCCGAGCGUCAUUUCAACCCUCGAACCCCUCCGGGGGGUCGGCGUUGGGGAUCGGCCCUUCACGGGGCCGGCCCCGAAAUACAGUGGCGGUCUCGCCGCAGCCUCUCCUGCGCAGUAGUUUGCACACUCGCAUCGGGAGCGCGGCGCGUCCAUUGCCGUAAAACACCCAACUUUCUGAAAUGUUGACCUCGGAUCAGGUAGGAAUACCCGCUGAACUUAAGCAUAUCAAUAAGCGGAGGA